Molecule: ribosomal RNA, 248 nt
Filed under: uncultured bacterium
Lineage: Bacteria
Description: partial 16S ribosomal RNA
Rfam family: Bacterial small subunit ribosomal RNA
Source: RNAcentral
GCAAGUCGAACGAGAAAGCAUCUUCGGGUGUAAGUAGAGUGGCGCACGGGUGAGUAACACCUGGGCAACCUACCCUUCAGAGGGGGAUAACCUCGGGAAACCGAGGCUAAUACCGCGUACGCCCAUAGAUUCCACGGGAUUUGUGGGGAAAGAGUUUUCGCUGAAGGAUGGGCCCGGGCCCGAUUAGUUUGUUGGUGAGGUAACGGCUCACCAAGACGACGAUUGGUAGCUGGUCUGAGAGGAUGAUC